This 222-nucleotide non-coding RNA is filed under the name Thiomonas sp. CB2. Lineage: Bacteria; Pseudomonadati; Pseudomonadota; Betaproteobacteria; Burkholderiales. RNAcentral also lists the same sequence under 3 other names. The record is from RNAcentral.
CAAGUCCACUGCGAUGAAGGAAUAGCGAACCGCAUCGACCCCGAGCCGUGCGCAGGCAUCCGUGAGGAUGUCGGCGAAGCGUCGGCAGGGGGACGUACAGGCCAGCCAUUGAGCCGCGAUAGGAUUUCUAUUCCGGGUGCCGACACCGUCACUUCUGUGGAAGGCAACAUCGACGGGUGCGUCAACGCAAGCGCCCGCUGGACCCGGCGUGGUCGUAGAACC